ACGGUUACCUGAAUGAUUUACACUACUUCAUCCGUCCCCUAUUAUAAGACCCUUUAUUGUCAGACAGUAAUGAGUCUUAUAAUAAGGGACGGAGGGAGUAUUAUUUUUAACACCGU
This 116-nucleotide microRNA precursor is filed under the name Lotus japonicus. RNAcentral's name for it is "miR1120 stem-loop (lja-MIR1120)". Lineage: Eukaryota; Viridiplantae; Streptophyta; Magnoliopsida; Fabales; Fabaceae. The record is from miRBase by way of RNAcentral.